RNAcentral lists this microRNA precursor (81 nucleotides) under Caenorhabditis japonica. Its description in RNAcentral is "mir-43 microRNA precursor family". It matches the Rfam family "mir-43 microRNA precursor family". Lineage: Eukaryota; Metazoa; Nematoda; Chromadorea; Rhabditida; Rhabditidae. The record is from Rfam by way of RNAcentral.
UGGUCCCGGGACCGCAAGAAACUCGUGUUAUAUGCCAAAUCAGUGGGUCAUAUCACAGUUUACUUGCUGUCCCGGGCGCUU